RNAcentral lists this ribosomal RNA (2891 nucleotides) under Sphingobacteriaceae bacterium. RNAcentral's name for it is "23S ribosomal RNA". It matches the Rfam family "Bacterial large subunit ribosomal RNA". Lineage: Bacteria; Pseudomonadati; Bacteroidota; Sphingobacteriia; Sphingobacteriales; Sphingobacteriaceae. The record is from RNAcentral.
AAGAAAGUAAAUAAGGGCGCAUGGAGGAUGCCUUGGGUCUUAGAGGCGAUGAAGGACGUGAUAAGCUGCGAUAAGCUUGGGGGAUUGGCAAAUACAAUUUGAUCCCAAGAUUUCCGAAUGGGGCAACCCGGCUGGCUGAAGGCCAGUCAAUCCGCAAGGAUUGCAAACGCUGUGAACUGAAACAUCUAAGUAACAGCAGGAGAAGAAAAUAAUUUAAUGAUUACGCAAGUAGUGGCGAGCGAACGCGUAAGAGCCCAAACCAGAGUAAUUACGGUUACUUUGGGGUUGUAGGACUACAAUGUGGACUUAAGUUGUAUAGUAGAACAGGUUUGGAAAGGCCGACCAUAGCGGGUGAUAGUCCCGUAUACGACAUACAAUUUAUACCUAGUAGUAUCCUGAGUACUGCGGGGUCGGAGACGCCCUGUAGGAAUCUGCCAGCACCAUCUGGUAAGGCUAAAUACUCCUAAGACACCGAUAGUGAACUAGUACUGUGAAGGAAAGGUGAAAAGAACCGCGAACAGCGGAGUGAAAUAGAACCUGAAACCAUGCGCUUACAAGCGGUCGGAGCCCUAAGUGGGGUGACGGCGUGCCUUUUGCAUAAUGAGCCUACGAGUUGCUCUUUACUGGCAAGGUUAAGCCCUUUAGGGGCGUGAACCGAAGCGAAAGCGAGUCUGAAUAGGGCGACAUAGUCAGUAGAGGCAGACGCGAAACCUUGUGAUCUACCCAUGGUCAGGAUGAAGUGACAGUAACAUGUCAUGGAGGUCCGAACCGAUAAGCGUUGAAAAGCUUCCGGAUGACCUGUGGGUAGGGGUGAAAGGCUAAUCAAACUAGGAAAUAGCUCGUACUCCCCGAAAUGCCUUUAGGGGCAGCGUGGUGGUAAAGUUUUAUAGAGGUAGAGCUACUGAUUGGAUGCGGGGGAAGCGAUUCCUACCAAGUCCUGACAAACUCCGAAUGCUAUAAAAUAUACACUGCAGUGAGCCAUUGGGUGCUAAGGUCCAAUGACGAAAGAGAGAGAACUCAGACCAACAGCUAAGGUCCCUAAAUCUAUACUAAGUUGAUAUAACGUGGUCCGACUGCACUGACAGCCAGGAUGUUUGCUUGGAAGCAGCCAUUCAUUUAAAGAGUGCGUAACAGCUCACUGGUCGAGCGGUUGGGCGUGGAUGAUACUCGGGCAUCAAGUAUAGUACCGAAGCUAUGAAUUUAACACGUCAAGUGUUAUCUGGUAGGGGAGCAUUCUAAUCUGCGUUGAAGGAGUUGCGUGAGCACUACUGGAGCGGUUAGAAAAGCAAAUGUAGGCAUAAGUAACGAUAAAACAGGCGAGAAACCUGUUCGCCGAUAGACUAAGGUUUCCUGAACAACGAUAAUCGGUUCAGGGUUAGUCGGGACCUAAGGUGAAGCCGAAGGGCGUAAUCGAUGGACAACUGGUUAAUAUUCCAGUACUUGUACCACUGCGAUGGAGAGACGGAAAAACGUAAAUGCUGCGCACUGACAGAAUAGUGCGUUGAAGCCCGUAGGGUUACCUUUGGUUGGCAAAUCCGCCAGAGGUCUGAAAGGUGAUAGUACCCUGAGUCGUCAGACAAGGGGAUAAGCAUCCAAGUAUGUUCCCAAGAAAAUCUUCUAAGCUUCAGGUGAGUACAACCCGUACCGCAAACCGACACAGGUAGUCAAGUAGAAUAUACUAAGGCGCUCGAGUGAUCCGUGGCUAAGGAACUAGGCAAAUUAACCCCGUAACUUCGGGAUAAGGGGUGCCUCGCGCAAGCGAGGCCGCAGAGAAAUGGCGGUGGCGACUGUUUAACAAAAACACAGGGCUUUGCGAAAACGAAAGUUGAAGUAUAAGGCCUGACACCUGCCCGGUGCCGGAAGGUUAAGAGGAGAGGUUAGUCGCAAGCGAAGCUUUGAAUUGAAGCCCCGGUAAACGGCGGCCGUAACUAUAACGGUCCUAAGGUAGCGAAAUUCCUUGUCGGGUAAGUUCCGACCUGCACGAAUGGUGUAACGAUCUCCGCUCUGUCUCAGCCGCGAGCUCGGUGAAAUUGUGGUAUCAGUGAAGACGCUGAUUACCCGCAACGGGACGGAAAGACCCCAUGCACCUUUACUAUAGUUUAACAUUGAUUUCGGGUAAGUGAUGUGUAGGAUAGGUGGGAGGCUUUGAAGCAGUGGCGCCAGCCAUUGUGGAGCCAACGUUGAAAUACCACCCUUUACUUACUUGGAGUCUAACUCUGCAAAGAGGACAUUGUUUGAUGGGUAGUUUGACUGGGGUGGUCGCCUCCGAAAGGGUAUCGGAGGCUUUCAAAGGUUAGCUCAUUACGCUUGGUAACCGUAAUUUAGAGUGCAAUAGCAUAAGCUAGCUUGACUGUGAGGCCGACAAGCCAAGCAGGGUCGAAAGCAGGAUAUAGUGAUCCGGUGGUUCCGCAUGGAAGGGCCAUCGCUCAUAGGAUAAAAGGUACGCUGGGGAUAACAGGCUGAUCCCUCCCAAGAGCUCACAUCGACGGGGGGGUUUGGCACCUCGAUGUCGGCUCGUCACAUCCUGGGGCUGGAGAAGGUCCCAAGGGUUCGGCUGUUCGCCGAUUAAAGUGGCACGCGAGCUGGGUUCAGAACGUCGUGAGACAGUUCGGUCCCUAUCUGUUGUGGGCGUUAGAAAAUUGAGGGGCGCUGACUCUAGUACGAGAGGACCGAGUCGGACGAACCGCUGGUAUACCUGUUGUGGAGCUAAUCUGCACCGCAGGGUAGCCAUGUUCGGAUGAGAUAAGCGCUGAAAGCAUCUAAGUGCGAAACUCACCUCAAGAUAAGUUUUCUUUACAAGGAUCCUGGAAGAUGACCAGGUUGAUAGGCUAUAGAUGUACAGUCAGUAAUGGCAAAGUCAAGUAGUACUAAUUAUCCGUAAGCUUUCUAUU